CACGUAGGGUGCGAGCGUUGUCCGGAAUUAUUGGGCGUAAAGAGCUCGUAGGCGGUGUGUCGCGUCGGCCGUGAAAACUUGGGGCUUAACUCUGAGCGUGCGGUCGAUACGGGCAUCACUUGAGUUCGGCAGGGGAGACUGGAAUUCCUGGUGUAGCGGUGAAAUGCGCAGAUAUCAGGAGGAACACCGGUGGCGAAGGCGGGUCUCUGGGCUGACACUGACGCUCAUGCACGAAAGCGUGGGGAGCAAACAGG
This 254-nucleotide ribosomal RNA is filed under the name uncultured bacterium. RNAcentral's name for it is "partial 16S ribosomal RNA". It matches the Rfam family "Bacterial small subunit ribosomal RNA", at positions 524 to 776 of the family's 1533-position model. The record is from RNAcentral.